CAAAGAUUCUGGCCUUCCUCUUGCUAAUACCCGUCCUCUAGCCCAUGCGUACACCUACACAUAUACACCUACACAUAUACACCUACACAUAUACACACCUCCACAUAUACACACCUACACAUACACGCCUACACAUACAUGCCUACACAUAUACGCCCACACAUAUACACCUACACAUAUACACACCUCCACAUAUCCACACCUCCACAUAUACGCCUACAUAUAUACACCUACACAUAUACAGCUACACAUAUACACCUACACAUAUACACACCUACACAUAUACACACCUACACAUAACACACCUACACAUAUACACACCUACACAUAUACACACCUACACAUACACACCUACACAUAUACACCUACACAUAUACACCUACACAUAUACACACCUACACAUAUACACACCUACACAUAUACACACCUACACAUAUACACCUACACAUAUACACACCUCCACAUAUACACACCUACACAUAUACGCCUACACAUAUACACCUACACAUAUACAGCUACACAUAUACAGCUACACAUAUACACACCUACACAUAUACACACCUAAACAUAUACACCUACACACAUACAUACUGGUUUAAAGACUGCAUAAGGACAAC
RNAcentral lists this long non-coding RNA (617 nucleotides) under Pan troglodytes (chimpanzee). RNAcentral's name for it is "long non-coding RNA NONPTRT017387". The record is from RNAcentral. Lineage: Eukaryota; Metazoa; Chordata; Mammalia; Primates; Hominidae.